CUCUGGGAUAAGCCUGGGAAACUGGGUCUAAUACCGGAUAUGACUGCUCCGCGCAUGCGGUGGUGGUGGAAAGCUUUUGCGGUUUUGGAUGGACUCGCGGCCUAUCAGCUUGUUGGUGGGGUAAUGGCCUACCAAGGCGACGACGGGUAGCCGGCCUGAGAGGGUGACCGGCCACACUGGGACUGAGACACGGCCCAGACUCCUACGGGAGGCAGCAGUGGGGAAUAUUGCACAAUGGGCGAAAGCCUGAUGCAGCGACGCCGCGUGAGGGAUGACGGCCUUCGGGUUGUAAACCUCUUUCAGUAGGGAAGAAGCUUUCGGGUGACGGUACCUGCAGAAGAAGCGCCGGCUAACUACGUGCCAGCAGCCGCGGUAAUACGUAGGGCGCAAGCGUUAUCCGGAAUUAUUGGGCGUAAAGAGCUCGUAGGCGGUUUGUCGCGUCUGCUGUGAAAGACCGGGGCUCAACUCCGGUUCUGCAGUGGGUACGGGCAGACUAGAGUGAUGUAGGGGAGACUGGAAUUCCUGGUGUAGCGGUGAAAUGCGCAGAUAUCAGGAGGAACACCGAUGGCGAAGGCAGGUCUCUGGGCAUUAACUGACGCUGAGGAGCGAAAGCAUGGGGAGCGAACAGGAUUAGAUACCCUGGUAGUCCAUGCCGUAAACGUUGGGCACUAGGUGUGGGGGACAUUCCACGUUUUCCGCGCCGUAGCUAACGCAUUAAGUGCCCCGCCUGGGGAGUACGGCCGCAAGGCUAAAACUCAAAGGAAUUGACGGGGGCCCGCACAAGCGGCGGAGCAUGCGGAUUAAUUCGAUGCAACGCGAAGAACCUUACCAAGGCUUGACAUGGACUAGUAAAGCGCAGAAAUGUGUUCCCCUCUUUGAGGCUGGUUUACAGGUGGUGCAUGGUUGUCGUCAGCUCGUGUCGUGAGAUGUUGGGUUAAGUCCCGCAACGAGCGCAACC
Molecule: ribosomal RNA, 958 nt
Filed under: Arthrobacter sp.
Lineage: Bacteria; Bacillati; Actinomycetota; Actinomycetes; Micrococcales; Micrococcaceae
Description: bacterial SSU rRNA
Rfam family: Bacterial small subunit ribosomal RNA
Source: RNAcentral